GAGUAAGGAAUAGCUAGCCUGGCUUACCCUUCCAAAUGUCUCUUACUUACUGAAGUCAUUCUAGAGCCAGGAAAGAUGGUGGGCCACCAACUCAACAAGGAGAGAAAAGGAAUAGAGUAUGAAUUCUGCAUCUCGGGUUUGGUUGAUUUGUUGGACUACUAAAGAGUCACAGCAAGUCAGAAGAGAGACUUUCCCCUGCCUACCCUUCCUUCUCAUCCAAUGCCUUAUCCUGGACCCACGUUGCUGCAUAAUGACACCAUCCUACAGAGAAGAAAGAGGGGUAGGAGCUCCUAGGUUCUGCUCAGCAUGGGGUGGCCAAGAAAUUAUUUUCUCCAUGCAGAUGGGAGCACUGGUGAGGACCAGAAUUGCUUUUGGGCCAGGCAUGCAUUGAGGAGCCUGAAGAUAAAGGGCCCAGUUCCAGUUCAGGCUAUUGUGGAUAGAGAUAAUGGUGUGUACUUACUGAAAACAUUGGGGUGAAAACAUUUCAUAAGAGAAACAGAUAACGGUUGUGACGAAGGUAGAGAAGAGGAAGCAGACACUUGGGCAUCCUGUAUAUUAAGGGCUAAGUCAUUUUGUGUACAUAUUUCUCUCUGUAUUUUAUUCCCUUUCCAAUAAUAAUCAGAAAGAGAUCAAUAAUAUCUAGGAAAUGCUUUAAGAGGUUAAAGUAGGGCUCCUUCUCAUUUUAUGACCUUUAUAGAAGUCAGAUAUUGAACAAAGUUUUCUACUAUUCCAUCCUUAAGAAGAGAUGAAUACCACUUAGAGUAGCUCUUUUUCCCAUGAAAUUUGCUAAGACUUUUAAAAAAUUUUUUAUUUAUGUGUAUGUGUGUAAAUCUCUCUGGGUGUUUACCAUGUGAGUGUAGGUGCUGUUGGAAGCCAGAAGAGGGUAUUGGGUCCCCUGGAGCUAGAAUUACAAGUAGUUCUGAACUGCCCAAUAUGGGUUCUGGGAACUGAACUUGAGUCCUCUGGACUACCAAGUACUCUUAACAAUUAAGCCACCAUCUACCCCCAUGUUUCCCAUGGAUCUUAAGAACCAUUAUCCAACCAUCCUACAGAUACCCACAUAUGCCUGAGAUUUCCGGUCUGGGUCCAUCUUUAUUCCAAAGAGAUGUACUCUUCAGAGUGACUCACUGUCCCUGGCCACUGGCAGCUUUUUAUUCUCCUCUCAAAUAUUUUGCUCAUUGGAUUAAAGAGCUUGACCCAUGAAAUUGACCUGCACAUGCUUCUGCUUUUUCCAAAGUUGGCAUCUGAUGUGUUGGGUUCCAGCCUCUUCUUGUUCCCUGAGGCUGUCCAUUUGAAACAAAACUUGAGACUUCAGCUGGCAUUGAUACAGCUUUCUCUCAGAUCUUUCUUUAGCCUCAGAACCACCCCCAGGGAUAUAAAGGAUAAUGCGGAAACCUGUUUAGGACUGCAUAAGUAGAAGGAAAAAAAAGAUACUUGGCUCGAGUCUCAGACUGGGACCAGAAUUAGGGUAUUGGAUAUAUGCCAACACUUUAAUUCCUAUUUCAGGCAUCUUAUGACUCCAGUCCCUGGUUUGUUCUUCUGUAUACAGAAACCACCCCACACUGAGAGAAUAGAUAUUAAUCACCCUUCUUGAAAAUCAUACCAGGUUUGUUGGAAGAGGGGAUCUAGUAUCAGAGGGAGUAAGUAAAGCACAGUUGUUCUGCCAGCCUUUCUGGAAGGAUUUUAUUCAGGAUUUUUUUCUGACUUGCUCCCUUGUAACUCGUUCUUGCUAUGAAAAGAAGGGUUAGUCUCCAAUGAAGAUAUUUCUCAUCCAAAUUUUCCUCUGUCCAUAUUUUUUUCUGUAAGAUAAAAAAAUCCCUUCAAAUCUCUCUUAUGUUGAUGGUUGUAUAGAAUACUGAAAAUAAAAUAAAAACGCUCACAUAACAUCUUACAGUCUUGAUUUUGAGUGUUCUCAUUGUGGUCAAAAUACCCCAGAGUCAUCCAUCUGCCCCAUGCUGAGUUAGGGGGAAAAGGAUGGGUCAGCAUUAGGUAGGAGAUUAGUGAUGUAACUUAAAAACUUUAUUUCCUUUACACAACUGAUUUCCAGAGUCAGGCCAUGUCUGAUAUGAAUGCAAAGAGCAGAGACUUGUGGACCAGUUUUGGCAGCUAGAUUAGUACUUCCUGUGCCUCUUAGGUAUGUAUAUUAAUUAGGGCUUUUAUUACUAAAAUUGACAAAAUACCAUGACCAAAAGUAGUUUGGAAAGAAGAGGGUUUAUUUCAUCUUAUAACUUGUAGUCCAUUAUUCAGUGAAGUCAGGGCAGUAACUCAAAGUGGGAAUCUGGGGAGGCAGGAAUUGAUGUAGAGGCCACGCAGAAGAGCCACUUACUGACUUGUUCCUCAUUAUUUGCUCAGCCUUAUACUAUCCAGGAUUACCUGCCUAUGAGUAGAAGCACCUACAAUAGGUUAGAAUCUCUCAUAGCAAUAACAACAACAACAACAACAAAAAAUGCCCAACAGGCUUGUCUUCAGGAAGAUCUGAUAGAGGCAUUUUCUCAGUUGAGGUUCCCUCUUCUCAGGUGAAUUCUAUCCUAUGUCAAGUUGACAUAAAAACUAGACAGAACAGAAUGUCUCUAUUGCUCCCACCCAAAAGGAGACACUGCCCAGUGCAUUUUACAAUGCCCUUGGGGCUCCACUGGGACUCAGGGAAAUACUUUUAUGAGAUUCACAGUUUUAAAUUUAAAUUUGUACAUCACUCUUUCUGUUUUCUGUAUGAUGGGGAAAGGAUGAUUGGAGUAAUUCUUAAUAAAGAAAAGAUCUGGCGAUAGUCAGGGUAACAUCUCUCAGACCCUAUACCCCUACCUAGCAUCCUCAGGUCUUGAAGAGAAGCUGUAAUAUAGGUCAAUGAACCCUUGGCUGGGGGCCUAAGGUUUGAAUUCCUCUGCUCAGUGUGUCAUUGACCUCUAGUUACUUGGACAAAUUCCUUCAUCUCCAGAUGUCAAUGUUAUCUCUGCACAGGAGCUGAGCUCCUGUGACAUCUAGAUACCACGUCCUACUCCAGCAACAGUCCUAUGUUGUUGGAACGCUCCAAGCCUCCGAAAUACUAAGUUAAGUAAUCAUAUCAUGGAUGCUGUUCUGAUAUUAGCUAAGCAGGUGGAUUCUUAGUUUAGAAAUUUUUCAUCAUGAAAAUAAUUAAGAUGUUUCUUUUAUCCUUUGACCUCUUGUCUCUCCAUUCCUUUUAUGAAACUAACUGUACUGCUCAUUGGUGACUAGGCACUGGGCAAUUCUCUCCUGACCCAUCAUACAGAUGAGGUGUGAAGAGCACUGGAGUGAAAGUCAGGCAGUGGGGGCCCUGCCCCUCUCUGGCACUAACUAGCUCUGUAGCCUUGGGCUUGUAUUGGUCCCUCUAAGGGUCUCCAUUUCCUUGCCUAUUAAUUGGGGUGUCUGAACUAAAUGAUCUUUGUAGACUUCAGUCCUUUCAUCCUAUGACUUCCAAGCAAUGGCAUCUCCCUGGAGAGCUAGAGCUGAGUGGAAAUCCUGUGUCGUGCCCCUCCAAAUGGCAUACAAUUAAUUAUGGAAUUCCAGCAAUCAGCUUCCUCCCCUGCUCCCUGCCCCCUGCCUGCUUGCACUAAUGGCAUUUUCACAGCCUUCUGCUUAGAACAAGUCAGUCUCAGACUAACUGGCAUCUUUCCAUGGGUGUCAAAGGGAGUGGAGAGGUCUCUGCUUAGAACUCUCCUAAUUCUCUUUAAGAUUUGUCUUAAGCUUUUAACUUCCCUCCCCAUCUGUAAAACCAGACCUGUUAGUACUAUCAGGUAUUACUCCUAUUUUCCAGUUCCACUGUAUUUUGAGACCAAUAAAUGACUUUCUAUAGUUUGUUAAAAUUGUGGAAAUAUUAGACUAGCUUGUAUUAUACAAGAAAGACUGAAGUUUAAGAAGAAAAACAAAGGAAGAUGCUCUUCCUGGUUAGUUAAAGCACUGUGCAGGUUUGGGAGCACAGACUCUGCUGACAUGGUGUGUUCAUGGAGAUAUGGCCAUAGACUCAAGCACAGACUCUAGAGACAGCCAUAGUGCUAGAAUAUGUUGUUAUUGCCAGGUCAGCCAAUCCAAUGAUGCCUCUGCUUUUUUCUCUGCAAAUGUGACCAAUACAUGACAUGACUAACCUUGUCAUUAAAUGGAAUUAGGUAUCUGAAUUAGUUUAAUCAAUCUAGUGUUGGACGCAGGAGUCUUCAGUAUUAAAAUUAUGCUUGACAUUGUUUUAUUUGUUUGGUUGGAUUUGUUUUCUUCCUGGAGUUUGAUAACCUUCCUUGCCCAUCAACACUCCCCAUUCCCAUGAAGUACUGGCCUUUUUGGCUUCUUUGUCUAAUCUCUCAGGAGACCCCACUGAAUGAUGGUGUGUAGACUAUUUUUAUGCCAACUAAAUACAGGUUGUAGUCAUCUGAGGGAACUGCAAUUGAGAAGAUGCCUUCAUAAGAUAAGUCUGUAGGCAAGCCUGUAGGGCAUUUUCUUAAUUAGUGAUUGCUGGGGGAAGGCCCAAUCCAUUGUGGAUUAACUCACAAAUGGUCAGGUGGCCCUGGGUUCUAUAAGAAAACAGGGUGAGUGAGCCUAGAAAGCAAGUCAGUAAGUAGCAUCCUUCAUGGCCUCUUCAUCAACAGUUGCCUCCAGGUUCUGGCCCUGUUUAAGUUCUUGUCCUGACUGUUUUCAAUGAUGAACAGUGAUGUAGAAGUGUUUCCUUUCUUUCCCAAGAUGUUUUUGGUCAUGGUGUUUCAGCAUAGCAAUAGGCACCCUGACUAAGUGGAUGGUUUGGAGAACUGCUAGUUCCCUUCUCAACCUUGGGCUGCUACUGACUCCUGACCUAAUAACCUGGCUACUCAGUCUCUUUGCUAGAUGGAAGACACUACCCUCAGAAUGGUACCGCUCACCCAAUGCACUCUCGGUAAGCAUGAAGCUUAAGAUUUGCCCUCAUUAAAAACAUUACAUCGUCUAAAAUGGGAAUCAGGUUUCCUGUGUACAGCUCCUUGAACUGAGGGUUGUGCUGUGUUAAUUUUUUCUCAUUAAGUACAUUUCUUCUCUUCCUGUUUCCUUCCUUCAAUACCAGUGUUGAAACAGUACAGCAAACAGGAGGAAACAAGACUUUAUGCAGGCAGUGGCAGGGGUGAGGCUGAGGUAAUUUGUUUAAUGUUUCUUAUCGAUUGAUGAGUUCAA
Rattus norvegicus (Norway rat) is the source of this 5139-nucleotide non-coding RNA. Lineage: Eukaryota; Metazoa; Chordata; Mammalia; Rodentia; Muridae. The record is from RefSeq and is a predicted model, not a curated record.